RNAcentral lists this ribosomal RNA (249 nucleotides) under uncultured Methanosaeta sp. RNAcentral's name for it is "partial 16S ribosomal RNA". It matches the Rfam family "Archaeal small subunit ribosomal RNA", at positions 1093 to 1338 of the family's 1478-position model. Lineage: Archaea; Methanobacteriati; Methanobacteriota; Methanomicrobia; Methanotrichales; Methanotrichaceae. The record is from RNAcentral.
ACACUGUGGGACCGCCGCUGCUAAAGCGGAGGAAGGAACUUGGGCAACGGUAGGUCAGUAUGCCCCGAAUAUCCCGGGCUACACGCGAGCUACAAUGGUUGGUACAAUGGGGUAUCUACCCCGAAAGGGGACGGGAAUCUCCUAAAACCAAUCUUAGUUCGGAUUGAGGGCUGCAACUCGCCCUCAUGAAGCUGGAAUCCGUAGUAAUCGCGUUUUCAACAGAACGCGGUGAAUACGUCCCUGCUCCUU